UGCAGAAAUCGUAACAGCAAGGGAAAAACUCGCUAGGAGUUCGCUAUUAGCGAAACUCCCUGUAACUAUUUCGCUAUUAGCUCACUUUUCGCCAUUAGCGAACUUGCCUAGUGACAGCAUACCCUGUUUUAUGUUCUUGCGUCUUUUUCACACGUUUCUAUUUUGAAUUGGCCUUUGGUGUGAACAUGAAAGUUGUAGAUAAUUUUGUUAGCUUUCCAAUGGCUUUGGUUUGACU
RNAcentral lists this long non-coding RNA (235 nucleotides) under Medicago truncatula (barrel medic). RNAcentral describes it as "long non-coding RNA (MTRU_LNC004950)". The record is from RNAcentral. Lineage: Eukaryota; Viridiplantae; Streptophyta; Magnoliopsida; Fabales; Fabaceae.